RNAcentral lists this long non-coding RNA (232 nucleotides) under Gossypium raimondii (Peruvian cotton). RNAcentral describes it as "long non-coding RNA (GRAI_LNC010597)". Lineage: Eukaryota; Viridiplantae; Streptophyta; Magnoliopsida; Malvales; Malvaceae. The record is from RNAcentral.
AGAAAGCAGGAUAUUUUGGUCUCAAAAUUUUGGGGAGAAGAAAUCAGUAAACGGUGAAUACCAAUUCGUUGCCCCUACCCCUGAAUACCUAUUACAGCUGCUGAGGGAAUAAACAAGUAAUAGCAAAAUGGUGGAAUAGUAAACGGUGAACCAAACAGUGGAAUAGGGGUGUAAUCACUGUAGCGCGCGGAAUAGGCAAGGAAUGGAAUGGCUAUUCAUGCCAACCAAACAU